UUUGACCUCAAAUCGGGUGGGAUUACCCACUGAACUUAGCUAUCA
This 45-nucleotide ribosomal RNA is filed under the name uncultured fungus. Its description in RNAcentral is "25S ribosomal RNA". The record is from RNAcentral. Lineage: Eukaryota; Fungi.